GGUCGGUUAGCUCAGAUUGGUUAGAGCGCCUGCCCGACACGCAGGAGGUCGGAGGUUCGAAUCCUCCACCGACCA
This 75-nucleotide transfer RNA is filed under the name Persephonella sp. Its description in RNAcentral is "tRNA-Val". It matches the Rfam family "tRNA". Rfam says of the family: Transfer RNA (tRNA) molecules are approximately 80 nucleotides in length. Their secondary structure includes four short double-helical elements and three loops (D, anti-codon, and T loops). Lineage: Bacteria; Pseudomonadati; Aquificota; Aquificia; Aquificales; Hydrogenothermaceae. The record is from RNAcentral.